Molecule: long non-coding RNA, 903 nt
Organism: Rhineura floridana
Lineage: Eukaryota; Metazoa; Chordata; Lepidosauria; Squamata; Rhineuridae
Exons: 3
Source: RefSeq, a predicted model, not a curated record
ACAAGGGGCAACGCUGAGACUGAGGAGGACGAAGCUGACAGGCAGGGCCACCCCCUGGACUGGCAGGCAGGCGGGGGCUGGCUGAAGGAUGCUCUCCAGAGAACAGAAAACUAUCCGAGUGAAACUCUGGGGCCCUCUGCUGGCAUGCAGAGUUUUAACAUGGCACACUGCGCAUGCCAGUCUUAACAGACCACUUAUUUCUGCACUCCGCUGAAAUAUAUACACCGGAAAACUCUAACAGGGGCAGCAAAUGAGAAUGUGUGGAGGAGAGAAAGGAAGGCUGGAUCUUCUGCACCAUCACACUGCAAACUGGAGCUGGCCUUGUGACCGACAGCCUUCUUUCCCCACUCUCAUCCGUUCCAGGUGAUACAUUGCAAACUCCCUCCCAGGCAGCCUCACACACCCCUUCCGCAAGCCGCAGAGGAACCAGGGCAACUCACAUGUCGCGAAAUGAAGCAAGACAUGGGCCCAAUUUCAGUGAAGAGUCCGACCUAGUGAAAUAAUAACAGCAUCACUUGCAAGCGGCCCCUUCUGGAAAGCAUCUCAGCAUUCGUACAGGGAACACCAGGGUAGACCUUUCCCCUCAAAGGAUCCUGGGAAUUGUGGUUCAAGGGUGCCGAGCGUUUCAUAAUCAGCCCCUCUUCCCAGAGAACUCUGGGAAUUGUAGCUCUGUGAGGGGAACAGGAGAAUCUCCUAACAACUCUCAGCACCCUUCACAAACUACACUUCCCAGGAUCCUGCGGGGGAAGCUAUGACUGUUGUGAUACGAGACUGCUUUAAAUGGACAGUGCAAAUGCAGCCCUACUUAAAUGAGAACUGUUUCUAAAUGUACAUAUACAUGUGUAUACAUAUUGAUUCAUGUGUGCAAAUUUUAUGCAAAUCUGUAUUUUUGUCUUUUUAAGA